This 253-nucleotide ribosomal RNA is filed under the name uncultured bacterium. RNAcentral describes it as "partial 16S ribosomal RNA". It matches the Rfam family "Bacterial small subunit ribosomal RNA", at positions 524 to 776 of the family's 1533-position model. The record is from RNAcentral.
UACGUAGGGACCGAGCGUUGUCCGGAAUCAUUGGGCGUAAAGCGCGUGUAGGCGGCUUGGUAGGUUUCGUGUUAAAUCCCUCGGCUCAACCGAGGAAUCGCACGGAAAACCACCUCGCUAGAGUCCGGAAGAGGGAAACGGAAUUCCAGGUGUAGCGGUGAAAUGCGCAGAUAUCUGGAAGAACACCCGUGGCGAAGGCGGCUCACUGGCCCGGUACUGACGCUGAGGUGCGAAAGCGUGGGGAGCAAACAGG